This 468-nucleotide ribosomal RNA is filed under the name uncultured bacterium. Its description in RNAcentral is "partial 16S ribosomal RNA". It matches the Rfam family "Bacterial small subunit ribosomal RNA", at positions 28 to 507 of the family's 1533-position model. The record is from RNAcentral.
GACGAACGCUGGCGGCGUGCUUAACACAUGCAAGUCGAACGGAAAGGCCCUGCUUUGUUGGGCUGCUCGGGUGGCGGAGCGGGAAGUAACACGUGAGUAACCUGCCCUUGAUUUUGGGAUAACUUCAUGAAGCUGGGGCUAAUAGCGGAUAAGAUCUCUUGCUGCAUGGUGGGCGUUGGAAAGUUUCGGUGGUUGGUGAUGUACUGGCGGCUUAUCGGCUUGUUGGUGGGGUGGUGGCAUACCAAGGCUAGGACAGGUAGCCGGCCUGGGAGGCUGACCGGCCACAUUGGGCUGGGGCUGAGACCCGGACUCCAACGGGAGGCAGCGGAGGGGAAUAGUGUAUAAUGCGCGGAAGGAUGAUGCAGUACAGCAGCGUGCGGUAUGACGGCCUGCGGGUUGUAUACCACUUUCGCCUGUGACGAAGCGUGAGUGACGGUAACGGGUGAAGAAGCACCGGCUAACUACGUG